ACGGGAGGCAGCAGUGAGGAAUAUUGGUCAAUGGGCGGAAGCCUGAACCAGCCAAGUCGCGUGAAGGAAGACGGUAUUAUGUAUUGUAAACUUCUUUAGCAGUAGAGCAAUAAGUUCCACGCGUGGAAUGAUGAGAGUAUACUGAGAAUAAGCAUCGGCUAACUCCGUGCCAGCAGCCGCGGUAAUACGGAGGAUGCGAGCGUUAUCCGGAUUCAUUGGGUUUAAAGGGUGCGCAGGCGGCCCAGUAAGUCAGCGGUUAAAUAGUGAGGCUCAACCUCAUCCCGCCGUUGAUACUGCAGGGCUUGAUUGCGGUCGAGGUUGGCGGAAUUCGUCGUGUAGCGGUGAAAUGCAUAGAUAUGACGAAGAACACCGAUUGCGUAGGCAGCUGACCAGACCGUAAAUGACGCUCAUGCACGAAAGUGCGGGGAUCGAACAGGAUUAGAUACCCUGGUA
Molecule: ribosomal RNA, 453 nt
Filed under: uncultured Porphyromonadaceae bacterium
Lineage: Bacteria; Pseudomonadati; Bacteroidota; Bacteroidia; Bacteroidales; Porphyromonadaceae
Description: partial 16S ribosomal RNA
Rfam family: Bacterial small subunit ribosomal RNA
Source: RNAcentral